UUCUAUUAGAAAUAAUUAAUAGUAAGAUCUGCUCAAUGAUUUUAAAUAGCCGCUUAUGUGCUAAGGUAGCAUAAUCAUUUGUCUUUUAAUUGAAGACUAGAACAAAAGAUUUAACAUUUUAGUUAAUAUUUAAUAUUAAAUAAUCAAAAUUACCUAAAUAGUAAAAAGACUAUUAUAUUUCAGAAAGACGACAAGACCCUAUUGAACUUAACUAUAGUUAAGCUGGGGCAGCUAAAAAAUAAUUAUUUUUUUUAAAAAAUUUUUUAAUAAAAGAUCUAAUAUAAUUAAUUAAAUGAUUAAGUUACCAUAGGGAUAACAGCGUAAUAUAUUUUUAAAGAUCAUAUACAAAUAUAUGAUUACGACCUCGAUGUUGAAUAAUAACCUAGUUAAAGCAAAAAUUAAACCAGGAAGUCUGUUCGACUUAUAAAUAAUUACA
Molecule: ribosomal RNA, 436 nt
Filed under: Titanebo mexicanus
Lineage: Eukaryota; Metazoa; Arthropoda; Arachnida; Araneae; Philodromidae
Description: partial 16S ribosomal RNA
Source: RNAcentral